Molecule: ribosomal RNA, 269 nt
Filed under: uncultured bacterium
Lineage: Bacteria
Description: partial 16S ribosomal RNA
Rfam family: Bacterial small subunit ribosomal RNA
Source: RNAcentral
AGUUACAAUGGCAGGUACAGAGGGGUGCUACCGGGUGACCGGAUGCCGAUCUCGAAAACCUGUCCCAGUUCGGACUGGAGUCUGCAACCCGACUCCACGAAGUUGGAUUCGCUAGUAAUCGCGCAUCAGCCAUGGCGCGGUGAAUACGUUCCCGGGCCUUGUACACACCGCCCGUCAAGCCAUGGGAGCCGGGGGCGCCUGAAGUCCGGGACCGCGAGGACCGGCCUAGGGCGAAACUGGUGACUGGGGCUAAGUCGUAACAAGGUACC